GAUAAUUGAAUCUUUUGGAUUUUAUUCCUAUUUUCAGGGAAAUUCAAAUGGCAUUGCUACUGUGGAUGUUUCAGCAGGGUUUGUGGGACUAGAAAGCUACGUGGAGAUACCAGCAAUCUUCCUUACAGCAUUUGCAACAUACGCAGGACCUUUGCUUUGGGCCAUUCAUCUUCUGUGCUAUUUGAGUUCUGAAGUCAGCAGAUUAAAAGCUCAACUAGUAGUGUUGCCAGCUACACUGCUGGUUUAAACUGAUGUCACGUGGGUAGCUGUGACCUGUAAUACCCACAUCACUUAUUUUGUGUCCAUUGCCCUUCAUCCUUACUUGGGACCCAACUGGUAAGAGUCUGUGUCUUCUUUACUGUUGCCUAUGAGAUAUUUAUGUAUACUGAGAGGAGCCUUUUCUCAUCAAAACUAAAUAUUUCCAAUUUUCAUCGUUUCUUCUCUUCUGUCAGAUGCUUCAUUCCCAGUAUCAUAUUUGUGGUCCAUCAGUAGACUUGCUCCAGUAUAUUCAUGUCUUUCUUAGACAGGGGAGCCCAAAUCUGGAGCCAGGACGACAAGUGUAAUCUCACCACUGCUAAAGGGAGGGAAUGGAGCAUCAACUUGAGACAGCUAGCAAUCCACUGCAGUCCCAGAUGAUACUGGUGUUUGACCCAGGACAACAUAUGUCCUUCUCAGACAAGCUGCUUUCCCAGUGGUCAUCCCCCAGCCCACCCUGGCAUAUGAGUUUAUUCUUCCCCAUGUGCAGGAUUUGGCAUUUCCUGCAGUUGAACUUCCUGAGUUUGUUGUCAGCCCAUUUUACUGGCCUGCUCAGGUCCCUUUGAAUGGCACUGCAUGUAGACUUGCUGAGGAUGUUGUCUGUGCUGUGCUCCUUUAAGGAAGGUGGCCCCAGUGUGUGAAGCCCUGUGGCUGGAUGCUAGUGAGUGGCCUCCAGGUGGAGUUUGUGCUGCUGAUCAGAACCCUGUAUGCUGAGUGGCUGGGCCAGUUUUCAGUCCACCUCUUUGUCCACUUAUCUGAUCUGCACUGCAUCAGUUUUCCUGUUACGAUUUUACAGUGGCAAGAGCCUCCUUGUGAACUGCAAGUGUGUUGGAUACAUAAAGUCCAUGCAUUGUCAGGGCUCUCUGGUAAAAAAAAAAAGAUUAGAAAAUAAGGAAAAUCAAGUUGUAAGUGGUUAAACAAUUUGCAUCCACUUAAUCAGGCACAUGGAAGAAUAAGAUUUUCUUCUCAUGUGCAAAGGUAAAUAUGCUUCUAAAAUAACUAAUGGCAUGUGACAGACAGGCAUGUGGAUACUAGUGCCACUUUUUGUCCUUCAUGCUCUCAUAAAAAACUUGGCAGCUGGAAUCUGAUGGGAUUUUCACAGACAGAAAUAGUAAGAACUGUUCUGCUUUAGUCUCCAUGGAAACUGUGCAAUAACUCUUGACUAUGCUUCUGAGACAGUCAGCACUGAUGAAACAGAUGCCUAAACUUAACCAAGCAUUCUCUUUGUGACCAGCAUAAAUUCCAGAGAGCACAUGAGUCAUGUAAAGAGUAGUUUUUAGAGUGCUCACUGUAUUGCUCUACUCUGAAUUAGAACUUAGCAUUUGGGGAUUCUUAUGACUGGAAGGGCCAUGUUAUUGUAUAACCAGACCUGUAUUACAUGGCCUCACUGCACUCAUCUCACUCCAGAUGGAUUCAGUUUUUACAUUCCUACCCAAACAGAGUUGUCUUUUGGGUGACAGUCACAGUGUUGUGUAAUUAGCUUUCUUCAAAUAGACAGCAUUGUAGUUUUCAGGUUACUUGUUCAUUAGAAUCUCUGUUUUAAUUGGUUUAAUGAGUCAGGUUUCAGUGUGAAUGCUGUAUGUCUCCUAACAUUAGAAGAAAGCUGCAAGUCCGUUGGCUUCUCUUCCCUACUGAUCAAAUGUUUUAGUAAUGCUUUCCUAUUAGCAACCUUUCAGGCUUUCAGGGGUUGAAAAUCUAACUUAUGCCCAGUGAGGGGAUGUUUGUUGCAAAACACUUAAUGUUAUGCUGGGACUUUGUUAAUGUAGAAUAUUUGCACAGUAAGCUUAAGAUUUGCUGUGACUUUUUUUAUGAUGCUGAUUUAAAAAGUAUGCUUGUUGUAGGAAUAUCUAACGUUAAAGUUUCAGCUUUUGCCAUCUCCAAUCUAAUUCAUUUCAUUUAUGGAGUCCUCCAUUCACAGUUCAUGCUAAUAUAUUAAUCCUUUUUCUUUCUUAUAUAAACUGAAUAUGCAGUGAGUGUUUUAAUAUUAUUUCUUCUAUGAGUUCUAGGUAGAAAUUGCAGUCCUCCCAAAAGACAAAGAAACAAUCCAACCCUUUUUUUCUGAACCCUUCAGUAUUGUACAUAAAUAGUAUUUAAUUCCUCUGGUUUCACUCAAUUCUCUCUCCCUUAGGUUAAUUAAAGAUGAAGAAAUGUUUACAGCUAUGAAUAUGUUGCAACUACAUUUUCUAGAAUGGUAAUACCUGCUCUAUGCUGUGUUUGCCAGCAAUCGAGCUCUCUGACUAAAAUAAAAAAUGUAGAAGAAGGUAUCUUAUUCCUUCCUGGGUGUAGAGAAAUCUGGGAAUCAUUUCAAAGCAGAAACGUGGCUUUAUUGCCACAGGCUGGAAGACUAUUGUACUCACUUUGGCAUCUCCUGACAUCUUGUCAUUGUGAGUAUGAUCUGGAGAUUCCUCUUAGUCAUCAUUAAAGUUCUGUGAUGGAGACCUCUUCAUCAGUUGCCUCAGUGUUAGAAACAAAUGACAAGUUACUUGAAAUCCUUCUGCAAAAUAAAUGUCAUCCUCUUCCUUUAUGGACCAGUUGUGCAGCUGUGUUUUAGGAGAUGAAAUACUUUCUACUUAAAUGUUAAAGGAAAUUGUGAGCACAGAAUUAUAAACACACAGAUUUGGAGUG
Molecule: non-coding RNA, 2880 nt
Organism: Meleagris gallopavo (turkey)
Lineage: Eukaryota; Metazoa; Chordata; Aves; Galliformes; Phasianidae
Source: RefSeq, a predicted model, not a curated record